UGUUCACUUUUUGUUUACUUUAGUUUCAGUAUUCGUUAUGGUUUUUAUUUAAAUACUAUUUUCGUGCUGCGACUAUAACCUAUAACCCGGGUGUUUUCUUAACCUAGUUAAAUUAUGAAGCAAUUUUCACACCGAUAUAACGUUAUUACAUGUAUAGAUUUCGGUAAUUUAUGAUCAUGUUUAAAUUUUAAAACGACAUAUCGAUUAUAUAACAUUACGUUUUUGUUCAUGACUGUAUGAAAAGAUCAUUUUAAAUUUUAAACGAGGGUCUUUUGAUAUACCAGACCUGCGUUUGUUUGAAAUAACUGGCUCUGUUCCAUAAAGUGAUUUUAUACAUAGCAUUGGCAUAACUUCAUUGAAAAACGGUGUUGAAUUGCAAAUUGGAUAUUAGAAACGUCUCGAUGCUGCAAAUGACUUCGGGAAGGAGAACGGACCUCUAGCUGGUAUAGCAGCAGCUCUGUUCAUUGUUGGUGCCAACAUUAUAGCUGGUCCAUUCAGAGGUAUCAAGAAAGUGGGCGAUGUUAUGAUAGGGAAAAAGAAGAAAAAGUAAACUUUGUAUUAUCAAGCACUAUUUGAGGAAUGGCUUGAAAUACCAUCAAUGACAAUCCAUUACUAUAUAGCUUUUUUGUAUCUCUACUUGAUUCUUUUCAAUUAAUUUUCACAUUAAUUAAUCUUUAACUCAUCACAGUUUAAUCAGUGCAUAUAUAUAAUUAUACACAGAUUUAAUUGCAUAUUACAGUAUGCAUUUUAUGUCAAAUAAAUUUCGACGUUAUGAAUAACAUUAUGACCAUCAGACAAGACAAGACGAAAUACAUUAACAUUUGAACUGAAGACCAAUGGAAUGUUUUUGAACUGUUGUUCCUAUCCCAUUGAAGAUAUCAUGUAACCAUGCCCUAAUCACAGCUUUAGUUAAUCUUUGAUAUUGUUUAAUAUGUAUAUGUCAGUCUAGAUCUUAUAAACAUAUGUUGCAAACAUUA
Molecule: RNA transcript, 977 nt
Organism: Ruditapes philippinarum (Manila clam)
Lineage: Eukaryota; Metazoa; Mollusca; Bivalvia; Venerida; Veneridae
Exons: 3
Source: RefSeq, a predicted model, not a curated record